CAAGUGCCAUGAGAAUAAAGCAGGAAAAUGUGGAAGCUGCUGUUACAGAGGAAGAAAACUUUUGAGGGCAGACUUUGUUUGACACAGCACUAGUUAGAAGGGCUGUGUGUGGAAUUCCUGAUAUAAUAAUAAUAAUUUAAUAAUAAUUUAUUAUUUAUACCCUGCCCAUCUGGCUGAGUUUCUCCAGCCACUCUGGUUUGUGGCCCUGAUUUGUAAAUCUAGAUUGGACCUGAUUUGGGCCAGACUCAAUCUGGACCUAAUCCAAGCAAACCCAUGUCUGAAUCCAAACUGUGAUCCAUACAAUAGAAACCUCUGGAAGUCUCAUUGCCUUGUAGUGCUAAACCAAAAACAGCUGUAAAUUUAUUGCUUUCCCCCCACAUGGGGCAAUAAACUUUGGAGACAUGGGAGCCCCUCUCCCCCCUGCCAAAGUUUAGAUAGUACUUCUAGGGGUUUUCAUGAUAGAUACCUUUAAAAUUUGCUUUUUCAAAACAAAACAAAACAAAACCACCUUGAGACUGUGAGUUGUCAGUUGUGCCAAUUGCCUUUAUCCUGUAUUUGCCCUUUUAUCAAGUUUUUGAAAACAUUUGAGGUUGUAUUUUUUAAAUUAGGCAGAAUCCGGCAGGCAGCAAUAUGAAGAUAAGCGCAGGGGAAUAAUGCAGGUAAGGAGUCUUUUGAGGGGCAGAUUGUCAGCAAUGAGAGAAAAUUAAAUAUUCAUUGGAGUCACAGAUGAGACCCUGUCAUAUAGAGGGUAGGUUGCUAAUAAUUAUAUUCACUAUGGUUAGUAAUUGAUGAUGAUGAUAGUAAUAAAAUGAAAAAAGCUAGGUAAUAUGCCCACAAUGUUUUUGUCUGGCUAGCUUAUUAUUAUUAUUAUUAUACCCCACACAUAAUAAUAAAAUAAAAUUGUGUAAAGUAUGCGAUGCAAAAACUGGCUGCUUCGGAUUGUCUGUGGUUACCUGUUGGAAAUAGUAAUGUUAAUAAUAAUAGUAGAAUUAAUAAUUAUUACCAAUGAGAAGUGAAUAAGAUUGUGUACCACACAAUGAGCUAUUGUAUUGCUGGCUGGCUGGCGGCUGCUUAGAAAUUGGAGAGCAUCAUCUGAAGAAGAACACCACUAUAAUAGUAUAGUACUGUACUUGUCUGUGUAAAUGUACUCACAAGAGAAACUCACAACACAAAGCACUAAUAAAAACAGAAACAAAAAACUGAACACAGUGGCAAAUCAACCUUACAUUAAUACUAGAGCUAAAAUGGAGGGGGGGUAUUAAGACACAGACAAGAAAUAAAGUUGAGACUCUAUUGGGAAAGAAUAGAAAACAAAUGCAAGCUGAAUAUAUGUCACCUACACCAACAAACACUUUCUGAGAGACAGAACUUGCAAAAGAGUACUGCAAAUUACACACACACACACACACACACACACACACACCACUGCCUCCCCACCCCACCAUGUAACAGGAUUGGAGAGUGUUGCGUAGUGUGAGAGCAUUUUAGGCUAGCUUCCUUAAACAAAGGAUGGAUAUACACUAAUGUUUUUUUAACUUUAAGGGUUAAGGAAUGGUUUUAAUAACCAUAUGGACACAUGACGUCCUACUUGUAACGUUCAUUAUGCAUGAUUAAAAUGUGACAACAGAGGGCACUGCAAAGCAACCAGGAGACCUUGUUUUGGUGAAGGUAAGUAACACUUUAUUUUACAAGUAUGGCCUGUGACGUUUCGGAACAAUCUAUCUAAUAUCAUUCUAAUAACAUUAAACAGGUCAGUGUGGAUCCAGCUAAAGUCCAGCUGCUCCACCCCAAAUUAUUGUGAGAUCAUUCUAGCCCUUCUCCAGCUCCCUUCCUCCCGCUUGCCUUGCCAUGGAAUUCUCCUUUAUGGUGUUGGAAUUAGCAAUGGCAACAAUUUGGAGAAUGCCUGUCUGGCUUUCUGUAAGACUGUUGUGAACUACAAAUUGAUAUGAAUUGGGAAAACUCAACCUGUUCUGUGGUGAUUCAUAGCUGCUUUAGUCCAAUCCAGACAGGGCAUAGAUCAGCCCAUUUUGGUUUAGAGAUUUUGACAAAUCUGGAACACGACCUUAUUAAUUGGGGGUAUAUUUAAAUUAAGAAUGCAUGUCUUAAAUCACUGCUUUUUCACAGAAGUACCGUACUCUGGAAAAUAGAAAAGAAAAAAGAAGAUGGGAUUGAUGCUUCUUGCUGUAAAAACAUUAAAGUGAAGUAUUACUGUGUUUUUACAUCAUUGAUGUAAAAACAUAUAUUCAUGUAUCCAUGCUUCAUAUAAUAGCACCAGCACUGAGUCUAGGAAGCAUAAUAGGAAGUAUACUUUAGGACAUUUUCCUUACAAAUAUUGCACAAGCAGAUUUUGGAUAUCCAAUACUUUUUUUUGCAUUAGGUCAAACCCAAUAAGAUUUCUGUCAAUCUAGCCUCAAAGUUUCUCCGCAGAGAGACUUUGAAUUGGCUCUUACUGAGAACCUUUUUGAAACACAAAACUGAAAAUUACUAUAAAGGUAUGAAUUCAAUUUAAUUGGGGGGAAAAUAAUUAGGUUUGAUGCUGGAAAAAAGGGAAAUGACAAAAGUGCACCUAAUGUCAGACUGCAACUUGCCACUCAGAAUUCACCAUAAAGGAUUCUAAAUUACAGCACUUAACGAGCCUCCAGAUGGAAGAAGCUUGCUUUUAAAAAAUCUCUUGCAAUGAUCAGAAGAGAGACUUCCCUCCUGUCAGACACCUAUGCCUGUGUUCUCACCAUAUUUUGCAAAGGGCACCAUGUCUAUGUUCUCAGUGUUUUUUAGAUUAUGAAUGUGGAAUUACACAAAUUAAUUCCAGUGAAGUUAUAAUGCUGGGAGUGACUCAUUUUAUAUUUGGAGCUAGGCUUACUUUCAGUAAAGUAAUGGAUGUGGUAUGUGAACAUCUUUGAUCACACAUCUGCAAUAACAACUGAUGCAUUAAUGUAUUCCUUACACUUACUCUUCAGGUAUUAACAACAUUCAUCUUUCACUAUGAGAGUUAUAAAUCCUGACAAUCAGGGUAAAAUUAGUCAUAAAUGCAAUUUUUUUCUCUUAAGAAUUGUGCAAAAUUAACUCUUGAUUGUGCAUUGUUAACCGUUAUCAAAAGAGCUGUUCAUAAAAAGUUUUCCUUUUAUUUUUCAGUGAUUAUCGAUGCAACUUGUGUUGCAGCUGCAGGAGUUGAAACAUUUUAAAUCUAAUUUACUGCAAAGACAGCAUUGAUGCAUUGAGAUAAAUAAGAAGAUUUAUUUUCAACAUUUAUUAGCUUCUACCAUUGAGGGAGCCAUUGCCCAAAUCAGAAUUUUAGCUGCAGACUAAUAAGCAGAGCAUUUAAGAACGACAGUUUUUUGUUUGCAGAUCAAGACCGGAGGACAAUACAGGAAGAGGUACAUUUCACACUGUUGACAAAUCCCACUAGUCAAGAUCUGGAAAGGGCAGGUGUCAGUCAAACAGGAGACUACUUGUCAGCCAUCACUCAAGAGAUAGCUGCUGUCUAACCUUUUGAAAUAUGUUUAUAUUGUGAUGCUUAUUUUAAAGAAUAAACAGGC
Molecule: non-coding RNA, 3536 nt
Organism: Podarcis lilfordi (Lilford's wall lizard)
Lineage: Eukaryota; Metazoa; Chordata; Lepidosauria; Squamata; Lacertidae
Source: the annotation of a GenBank genome assembly